This 401-nucleotide ribosomal RNA is filed under the name uncultured bacterium. RNAcentral's name for it is "bacterial SSU rRNA". It matches the Rfam family "Bacterial small subunit ribosomal RNA", at positions 355 to 774 of the family's 1533-position model. The record is from RNAcentral.
UCGGGAAUUUUGGGCAAUGGGCGAAAGCCUGACCCAGCAACGCCGCGUGAGGGAUGAAGUAUUUCGGUAUGUAAACCUCGAAAGAAUGGGAAGAAUAAAUGACGGUACCAUUUAUAAGCUCCGGCUAACUACGUGCCAGCAGCCUCGGUAAUACGUAGGGAGCAAGCGUUGUUCGGAUUUACUGGGCGUAAAGGGCGCGUAGGCGGCGCGGUAAGUCACUUGUGAAAUCUCUGAGCUUAACUCAGAACGGCCAAGUGAUACUGCUGUGCUAGAGUGCGGAAGAGGCAACCGGAAUUCUUGGUGUAGCGGUGAAAUGCGUAGAUAUCAAGAGGAACACCUGAGGCGAAGGCGGGUUGCUGGCCGACACUGACGCUGAUGCGCGAAAGCCAGGGGAGCAAACG